Molecule: ribosomal RNA, 472 nt
Filed under: uncultured bacterium
Lineage: Bacteria
Description: bacterial SSU rRNA
Rfam family: Bacterial small subunit ribosomal RNA
Source: RNAcentral
ACGAACGCUGGCGGCGUGCCUAACACAUGCAAGUCGAGCGAGGAGAUUCCUUCGGGAUGAUCCUAGCGGCGGACGGGUGAGUAACACGUGGGCAACCUGCCUCAUAGAGAGGAAUAGCCUUCCGAAAGGGAGAUUAAUACCUCAUAACAUUGCAGUUUCGCAUGGAACAGCAAUUAAAGGAGCAAUCCGCUAUGAGAUGGGCCCGCGGCGCAUUAGCUAGUUGGUGAGGUAACGGCUCACCAAGGCGACGAUGCGUAGCCGACCUGAGAGGGUGAUCGGCCACAUUGGGACUGAGACACGGCCCAGACUCCUACGGGAGGCAGCAGUGGGGAAUAUUGCACAAUGGGGGAAACCCUGAUGCAGCAACGCCGCGUGAGUGAUGACGGCCUUCGGGUUGUAAAGCUCUGUCUUCAGGGACGAUAAUGACGGUACCUGAGGAGGAAGCCACGGCUAACUACGUGCCAGCCGCCGC